Molecule: ribosomal RNA, 475 nt
Filed under: uncultured bacterium
Lineage: Bacteria
Description: bacterial SSU rRNA
Rfam family: Bacterial small subunit ribosomal RNA
Source: RNAcentral
GGGGGCCCCCAAGCCGUGGAACAUGUUGUUCCAUUCCACCCCACCCCAAAAACCUUUCCUGGGCCCCAAAUUGUAUGGGCCCGGGGGGAAACCUUCCUUUUCCCCAAAACCCCCUACAUAGGUGCUGCAUGGCUGUCGUCAGCUCGUGUCGUGAGAUGUUGGGUUAAGUCCCGCAACGAGCGCAACCCUUAUUGUCAGUUGCCAUCAUUCAGUUGGGCACUCUGGCGAAACCGCCUCGGAUAACGGGGAAGAAGGGUGGGAGAUGACCUCAAGUCCUCAUGGCCUUUAUGUCCAGGGCUACACACGUGCUACAAUGGUCGGUACAAACCGUCCCAAACCCGUGAGGGGGAGCUAAUCGGAAAAAGCCGACCUCAUUUCGGAUUGGAGUCUGCAACUCCACUCCAUGAAGCUGGAAUCGCUAGUAAUCGCGGAUCAGAACGCCGCGGUGAAUACGUUCCCGGGCCUUGUACACACC